Bombus pascuorum is the source of this 1975-nucleotide long non-coding RNA. RefSeq lists it as uncharacterized. Lineage: Eukaryota; Metazoa; Arthropoda; Insecta; Hymenoptera; Apidae. The transcript has 3 exons. The record is from RefSeq and is a predicted model, not a curated record.
GUUUAGAUACCAGUGACUGACCAUUCAGUGCAGAAGUGUGGUUUACAUUAAUUUCACUGACCCUGAAUCUCUGCCUAUUAAAAGUCGAGAUACGUGCUAAAUAAUUCAAGAGUUCACAUGAUACGUUUAUUAUGGAUAUCAUUGUUACCUUCAACUGUAGGAAAAUGCCGCAGAGAAAAAGAAAAAUUCCGAAAGAAAGCAGGUCGUAUGCAUUUGUUGCAUGGAGGUCACCACAAGUUCAUCGAAUUAUCUUGAGACUCACAUGAAAUGCAGUUUCGUUACUCUUCGGGACAUAAGUUGGCAGCAGAUGUAAAUAACUGCUCAGAAAACCAGAUGUUUGUGAAAGGCGAGAAGAUAUUGAAAACGAACCUUCUAUGCGUUAAAUCAAGGCUGUAUGAGUUGAACAUUAUUAUAUGUCGGUAUACACCAAGGAAGAUGAGAAAGGGAACAGGCGAUAAUUUGAACAAUUAUAAUUUAUGAUAACCGAGACAAACUCCUGUCUUUUAUUCUUUCUUUCCACAACCGGAUUACCGGAACUCAUAAAAUCAAUUGGAGUAAUUGCGCUCGUAUUGAUUCCCGCUGAGACAUGAUGGUCAUUUCCCGUAGUUUCUAUGGACAAUGAUAUCGAUGAAAAGUUGAAACAAAGCGUUGGAAUCAGCCAGUGGCUAUUUUUAAAAUCUAUUGAUCACGAGAGAGAUCAUCUUUGCGAAUGCAAAGCGUAGAUCAUCCGCAUUCGUACGAUAAGAGAAUGCGACGCUUAUAACGAAGGUUUAUCUUUAGAUGGAGCGGCAUAAACAUACAAUGGGCAAUACCGAAACUAAUGAGGAAAUUAAUUUAAAUAAAGAGAGGCCCAAUCGGCGCCAUUCUUGCAUAACGAUCGAUGCUGCUUUUCCGAUACGUGCCACGAAUGCUGUAUAUACUUCUGAAAUUCUUCUCCGAGGUAUGCUCAAAUUUAAAAUAGUCGAAAUGUGAUAGUUGUAGCGCAAUUUCGUCGAAAUUACAAGUUUGUAAUCAAAAUAUUGAUAUUAUUGUACUGAAGCUUUCAAUGCACGAUGAAAUAAAAUUUGUGAAAAUUGGGAGGGCAUUUAUUAUAUAUACAGGGAUCUUUAUCAAUGUUCAAAUUAGUUAAGGACUAAAUUUAAAAUAAUUUAGUGCUCAGUAGUAGAUAUUUGUAUCUACAACUUUGACGUCAAAGAAAAAGGGUUUUUUAGGGUUAUUAAUAUGGAAAUGACGACAAUGACCUUUGAACUUCUGGGUAUAGAUGGAAGAUUACUAUACCUCCCUAAAUUCAGAAUAAAGUGUUAGCUACAGCGUGACAAGUAGGGGCCAGAAGUUACGAUUUCGCUUUGUGAUAAAUAUAGGUAUGUAAUAAUUAGGACCACUGAGGACAAAAUAACCAAUUGAUAAUUUAGUUUCACCUAUUUUUUUAGUAAUACAGAAGUUAUAAAUAAUUUAGAACAAUUCACAAUUACUAUAAAUUAAAUUUUUCCAAAUUAACCACUGGAAAUAAAAGAUAUUAAAUACAUGAUAGUAUCUUUUAAAUCUUUUAAAUUUAAAUUAUCGGAAGAAAGAUAAGAAUCAACAUAAUAAAAUGUUAAUUUCUUCCAUACGUAUGUUAUUGUAUAUAUAAUUCAAAUAUAAAUACUAUGUUUUAAAUAUUUCUUUAGAGUUAUAUUAUAAAGUACUUGAUUAGUUAUCUGAUGCAAUCUAUUCGAAUUAUCAAUAUUUAAGUAGAAUAUAUAUUUCCUACUUUUUUUCGGAGAAGUAUUCAUAUCGGAAACUCAUGAUCUUUUUCUAAAUCUGAUUAGAAUGAGCGACGAAAUAUUAAAACUUCAUCACAUUGGAAAAGGGCCAACAAGAAUAUAAUUAGAUGAUGAAUUGAUCAUCCUUCUGAUAAACUUUGAUAUCUUAAUUAGAUUCUAUGAAACGAAUUCCUAUUAAUAUCUUUCAUAUUAUUUUUUUUCCUCCUUUAAAA